AGCGAACGUUAGCGGCGCGCCUAACACAUGCAAGUCGCACGAGAAAGGGGGCAACCCCCGGUACAGUGGCGCACGGGUGAGUAACACGUGGGUGAUCUGCCCAGAAGAAGGGGAUAACCUCUCGAAAGGGGGGCUAAUACCGCAUAGGACCACCGGGGCUUUGGCUCUGUGGUGAAAGGGGGCCUCUGUUUACAAGCUCCUGCUUCUGGAUGAGCCCGCGUCCCAUCAGCUAGUUGGUAGGGUAAUGGCCUACCAAGGCUACGACGGGUAGCUGGUCUAAGAGGAUGGCCAGCCACACUGGAACUGAGACACGGUCCAGACUCCUACGGGAGGCAGCAGUGGGGAAUCUUGCGCAAUGGGCGAAAGCCUGACGCAGCGACGCCGCGUGGGUGACGAAGGCCUCGGGUUGUAAGCCUGUGGGUAGAACGAACUAGGCAUCGGGCGUAAUAUACCCGGUGUCUUGACGGUACUGCCUUAGCAAGCAUCGGC
RNAcentral lists this ribosomal RNA (489 nucleotides) under uncultured bacterium. RNAcentral describes it as "bacterial SSU rRNA". It matches the Rfam family "Bacterial small subunit ribosomal RNA", at positions 28 to 497 of the family's 1533-position model. The record is from RNAcentral.